GAAUGAAGAACGCAGUGAAAUGCGAUACGUAAUGUGAAUUGCAAAUUCAGUGAAUCAUCGAGUCUUUGAACGCACAUUGCGCCCCCUGGUAUUCCGGGGGGCAUGCCUGUCCGAGCGUCAUUGCUGCCCUCAAGCACGGCUUGUGUGUUGGGCCCCGUCCUCCGAUCCCGGGGGACGGGCCCGAAAGGCAGCGGCGGCACCGCGUCCGGUCCUCGAGCGUAUGGGGCUUUGUCACCCGCUCUGUAGGCCCGGCCGGCGCUUGCCGAUCAACCCAAAUUUUUAUCCAGGUUGACCUCGGAUCAGGUAGGGAUACCCGCUGAACUUAAGCAUAUCAAUAAGCGGAGGA
RNAcentral lists this unclassified non-coding RNA (346 nucleotides) under soil metagenome. RNAcentral describes it as "partial contains 5.8S ribosomal RNA, internal transcribed spacer 2, and large subunit ribosomal RNA". The stretch from base 3 to 120 matches the Rfam family "5.8S ribosomal RNA", at positions 36 to 154 of the family's 154-position model. The record is from RNAcentral.